Molecule: ribosomal RNA, 253 nt
Filed under: uncultured bacterium
Lineage: Bacteria
Description: partial 16S ribosomal RNA
Rfam family: Bacterial small subunit ribosomal RNA
Source: RNAcentral
UACGUAGGGGGCUAGCGUUGUCCGGAAUCAUUGGGCGUAAAGAGCGUGUAGGCGGCUCGGUAAGUCCGCUGUAAAAGUCAAAGGCUCAACCUUUGAAUGUCAGUGGAUACUGCCGGGCUAGAGUCCGGAAGAGGCGAGUGGAACUCCUGGUGUAGCGGUGGAAUGCGCAGAUAUCAGGAAGAACACCAACGGCGAAGGCAGCUCGCUGGGACGGUACUGACGCUGAGACGCGAAAGUGUGGGGAGCGAACAGG